RNAcentral lists this ribosomal RNA (353 nucleotides) under uncultured bacterium. RNAcentral's name for it is "bacterial SSU rRNA". It matches the Rfam family "Bacterial small subunit ribosomal RNA", at positions 8 to 334 of the family's 1533-position model. The record is from RNAcentral.
AGGGUUUGAUUCUGGCUCAGGACGAACGCUGGCGGCAUGCCUAAUACAUGCAAGUCGAACGAACCAUCCUGAAGAUUGAAGCUUGCUUCAUGAUUCAGAUUUUGGUGAGUGGCGGACGGGUGAGUAACACGUGGGUAACCUGCCCAAAAGUGGGGGAUAACAUUUGGAAACAAGUGCUAAUACCGCAUAACAACUACUUUCACAUGAUCGUAGCUUGAAAGAUGGCUCUGCUAUCGCUUUUGGAUGGACCCGCGGCGUAUUAGCUAGUUGGUGAGGUAAUGGCUCACCAAGGCAAUGAUACGUAGCCGACCUGAGAGGGUAAUCGGCCACAUUGGGACUGAGACACGGCCCAA